This 198-nucleotide ribosomal RNA is filed under the name uncultured bacterium. RNAcentral describes it as "partial 16S ribosomal RNA". It matches the Rfam family "Bacterial small subunit ribosomal RNA", at positions 328 to 539 of the family's 1533-position model. The record is from RNAcentral.
ACGCUCGACACCUACGUGAGGCAGCAGUGGGGAAUAUUGCACAAUGGGGGAAACCCUGAUGCAGCGACGCCGCGUGAAGGAUGAAGUAUUUCGGUAUGUAAACUUCUAUCAGCAGGGAAGAAAGUGACGGUACCUGACUAAGAAGCCCCGGCUAACUACGUGCUAGCAGCCGCGGUAAUCUGAGCGGGCUGGCAAGGC